CCCGUACUUGGUGUUACUGCGAAGGGGGGACGGAGAAGGCUAUGUUGGCCGGGCGACGGUUGUCCCGGUUUAAGCGUGUAGGUGUGUGUUCCAGGUAAAUCCGGUUCACUUUAACACUGAGGCGUGACGACGAGGCACUACGGUGCUGAAGCAACAAAUGCCCUGCUUCCAGGAAAAGCCUCUAAGCAUCAGGUAACACGAAAUCGUACCCCAAACCGACACAGGUGGUCAGGUAGAGAAUACCAAGGCGCUUGAGAGAACUCGGGUGAAGGAACUAGGCAAAAUGGUGCCGUAACUUCGGGAGAAGGCACGCUGACACGUAGGUGAAGUGAUUUACUCAUGGAGCUGAAGUCAGUCGAAGAUACCAGCUGGCUGCAACUGUUUAUUAAAAACACAGCACUGUGCAAACACGAAAGUGGACGUAUACGGUGUGACGCCUGCCCGGUGCCGGAAGGUUAAUUGAUGGGG
RNAcentral lists this ribosomal RNA (468 nucleotides) under Salmonella enterica subsp. enterica serovar Typhimurium. RNAcentral's name for it is "partial 23S ribosomal RNA". It matches the Rfam family "Bacterial large subunit ribosomal RNA", at positions 1438 to 1889 of the family's 2925-position model. The record is from RNAcentral. Lineage: Bacteria; Pseudomonadati; Pseudomonadota; Gammaproteobacteria; Enterobacterales; Enterobacteriaceae.